This 72-nucleotide transfer RNA is filed under the name Caudoviricetes sp. Its description in RNAcentral is "tRNA-Leu". Lineage: Duplodnaviria; Heunggongvirae; Uroviricota; Caudoviricetes. The record is from RNAcentral.
AGUUAUAUAUAGCAAGGUUUGACGGGCUGGUUUGGGACCAGAAGAUCGGGGGUUCAAAUCCCUCCAUCCCGA